GUAGGGUGCAAGCGUUGUCCGGAAUUAUUGGGCGUAAAGAGCUCGUAGGCGGUCUGUCGCGUCGGAUGUGAAAACUCGGGGCUCAACCCCGAGCCUGCAUUCGAUACGGGCAGACUUGAGUUCGGCAGGGGAGACUGGAAUUCCUGGUGUAGCGGUGAAAUGCGCAGAUAUCAGGAGGAACACCGGUGGCGAAGGCGGGUCUCUGGGCCGAUACUGACGCUGAGGAGCGAAAGCGUGGGGAGCGAACAGGAUUAGAUACCCUGGUAGUCCACGCCGUAAACGGUGGGUGCUAGGUGUGGGGAACUUUCCACGUUCUCCGUGCCGCAGCUAACGCAUUAAGCACCCCGCCUGGGGAGUACGGCCGCAAGGCUAAA
RNAcentral lists this ribosomal RNA (374 nucleotides) under uncultured bacterium. RNAcentral's name for it is "bacterial SSU rRNA". It matches the Rfam family "Bacterial small subunit ribosomal RNA", at positions 527 to 898 of the family's 1533-position model. The record is from RNAcentral.